CAGUUGCCAUCUUCAGACUUCAAACAACCACUACAAAAAUGGUUAAGAAUUCUAGAAUAAACAAAAUAUAAGAUUUCAACAUAAAUCGAUUCCCUUGGAAACCAGCAAUUUUUACACGAAACAUAUACUACACUUUGUAAUACAAACAAUAUAUGUUAAUUUUAUGAAAAAAUGUCUUUUCUUUAUGAAUAUGCUAUAAAUAUUGCUGGGGGAUUCCCAGCGGCAGUGCCAAUCUCUUUAUAUGAGAUGCUAAACAUUUGCGGUAUUCUUACCUUUCUGUUUCUCAAGCAGGUACAUCCAUGCAGGUGGUACCUACAUGGUCAUAAUAAGAGAUUCCUAGAAGCAAUCUAUCAGAAAGUGCAAUAACCCCACACGGACAAAAAGGAUACUGAAGAACCAACUAGUAAAUAAUAUGAACCAAUCCCAUACUCAAUGAAGAGUUACAAGGUCCCUAAGAAAUUAGUUAGAAAAAUCAAUAAAAGACUAACUUAUAGAAGGCAUUUGACACUAUUCAGCCAGUUCAGAAAUGAGAAAGACAAUAAGCAGAGAAAGAAUAGAACUGGAGUAUAUAAAAUUCCGGUUAAAAAUAAUAAGAGACACAUGAAUGAAACCUACAUAAGAGUAACAGAGAGAACACUGGACCGAAGACUAAGAGAACAUAAAAGGGAUAUAGUUAAAUGAAAAAUGAAUACAGCCCUAGCAAUAUCAGUAUAUGGGAAUGAUAUGCAUGUAAACUGGCAAGAGGCAGAAGCAAUAAGAACACUAAGAAAAGGAAAACCUACAACGCUGGCAGAAAGUAUGGAGAUGUAUACCAAUGAGAAAAAAGGAAAACUAUUGAAUGAACACCCUCACAAGAGUUGGUGGAUCCAUGGAAAUUUCUCCUGAACAGAACAGUGAAACAAAACCGAAAAGAUUUAGGACCGUGUUGAUGAUGUUUAACCCUGAAAAUUAUAAAUUUAAAGAGUUUAGAAUUAAAAUAGUCUUAUAUCUUUAAUAAUCUUUAUAUAUUAUAUAGUUUAGAGUACAUUUUAUUUUAUAUUUUAUUUUUUAUUUUCUCUCUUUUAUUGUAUUUAAAAACAUGUAGCCAUGGUAAUGUGAGGAUCCGGGACGGGCUAUGUCGGAUGGACCGAGUUAAGUUUUGGUAUAAUUUGGAAUAAGGCGCGUAAGUAAGUGGCACAGGGAUCCAGG
Molecule: long non-coding RNA, 1188 nt
Filed under: Androctonus crassicauda
Lineage: Eukaryota; Metazoa; Arthropoda; Arachnida; Scorpiones; Buthidae
Source: RNAcentral